Molecule: ribosomal RNA, 582 nt
Filed under: uncultured bacterium
Lineage: Bacteria
Description: bacterial SSU rRNA
Rfam family: Bacterial small subunit ribosomal RNA
Source: RNAcentral
AAGGGUGAGUAAUGCGACGGUAACCAACCCCAGGAAUGGGUAUAGCCGCGGGAAACUGCGGGUAAUCCCCAGCGAUGUGCAGGAUCGGCAUCGAUUCUUCACCAAAGUUCCGGCGUCCUGGGACGGGCCGUUGUGGUAUUAGCUAGUUGGCGGGGUAACGGCCCACCAAGGCUUCGAUGCCUACCGGGCGUGCGAGCGUGGCCCGGCACACUGGGACUGAGACACUGCCCAGACUCCUACGGGAGGCUGCAGUCGAGAAUCUUCGGCAAUGGGCGCAAGCCUGACCGAGCGACGCCGCGUGGAGGAUGAAGGCCUUCGGGUUGUAAACUCCUGUCGAGGGGGAGGAAGGCGCAAGCUUGACCGAUCCCUGGAGGAAGCACGGGCUAAGUUCGUGCCAGCAGCCGCGGUAAGACGAACCGUGCGAACGUUAUUCGGAAUCACUGGGCUUAAAGCGCGUGUAGGUGGAUGGGCGCAUCGAUUGCUGAAAGCCCCCGGCUCAACCGGGGAAGUGGCGUCGAGAUGGCCUGUCUCGAGGGGGGUAGGGGGAUCUGGAACUUCCGGUGGAGCGGUGAAAUGCGUUGA